This 224-nucleotide long non-coding RNA is filed under the name Ricinus communis (castor bean). Its description in RNAcentral is "long non-coding RNA (RCOM_LNC001274)". The record is from RNAcentral. Lineage: Eukaryota; Viridiplantae; Streptophyta; Magnoliopsida; Malpighiales; Euphorbiaceae.
AUUCUUAUUUCUUCCUAUAUCACCAAGAUAGCCAAACACCUCUGACUCCACACUCCUCAAAAUAAGAUCUACCUUGCUCCACCUAUUGCUCCUUUUUGCUUAGGUCUUCCCUUCUUUGAACAUGUUAGGGUCUUUCAUUUAAGCCUUAAAUGGGAAAUAGAUAGAGAAUUCUUCCUUUUAAUUGGAGAAUUUAUGAGUGAUAGGAAGAUGGACCAUGGAACUUC